Molecule: long non-coding RNA, 2798 nt
Organism: Brachypodium distachyon (stiff brome)
Lineage: Eukaryota; Viridiplantae; Streptophyta; Magnoliopsida; Poales; Poaceae
Exons: 8
Source: RefSeq, a predicted model, not a curated record
CCGUGAAUUUGGUCGGGCUUUUCUUUUUGUUCUUUUGACUCGAACAAGACAUCUUCUCGUCGGUCUGCUCGCAGCUCGCGUUCCCUAAUCCCAUUCUGGCCAGUUCCGACCCCUCCGCCUGGGUGCCGCCGCCGGGGGCUACGCCGGUGUGCAGCCCCCAUCCUCCCUCCCUGCUGUUGUGUCGUCUGUGCUGCUCUGCUGCGAUGCCACUGCGGGCUCGUCGGCCCUGCUACACCUGUGCGCCAUCCCCCUACCCUGCUAUUGUGCUGCGCCACCGCGCGCUCGACCCGCCGAUGCCCCUGCUGUUGCGCCGUCGCCACCCAGUCGGCCCGCCUACCCCUGCUGCUCCUCCCUUCCAACUCUCCAGCCUCCGUCGUCGCCGCCCCUGCUGCUCCGUCGCCGCCAAGUACUCGAGCGGAUCAGGCGAAGUCAACAGAGGCAAGGAAAUUCCGAUUUUGUGCUCAUUGACGGUGAGGUCUCCUCGGUGCCUGCUAAGACAACAGAGGCGAGGCGUUUUCAAUCUCUUCUGAUUGGGGACUAGAAAUAUAUGUUUCAACAGAUUGCACUCCCCCGUCCAUGUUUUUGCACUGUUCUUUUAAAUGCAAUCACAAUAUUGUCAAGAUACAAUUGCACUUCCUUCUCUACAAGCUUGUGCUAUUCGUAACUUUUAAUUUUGCUCAAUUAUAACCACUUUGCAUAGCAUACAUGUAGUUCUGGAAUUUCUUAGCUGAUCAUAUUGUGAAUAAUCAGUGUUCUGAAGAAUAUAAAUAUUGGCAAUAUCUUUCUACACACUUGCAAAUUUGGAUUCUAAUAGAUUCUUUUAUCUUAUGCUGCUAAUAUAGAGGCAAAAGACAACCCAAUUGGAUCAUUCAUCUUUUUAGAAAACGAUUUUGCUAGCGCACAGGCGCCUGUUUCUUUUCUCCAAACCAGUCGAUGCGGAGGCUGUCGAUGUGUCUUUGCGAUUUGUUCUCUGGGCGCGCUGAGGUGGGAUUUUGUGCUGAGGUGUUUAGUCUCUGCUUGCGGGCCUUCCACUGUCUCUUCUCAAAAUCCAACCCACCGCUGUUCUUGUCUGCUCGGAAGGGGAAAGGAGCAUUUUGCUGCGAGCUUCUCGCCCUUGUUCCUCUCCGGCGAUUCUCGGGUUACGCUAGCGCAAUUCUUCCAGACCCUACAAUAAACAGCCCCUACUACUUGCUUUGUGCAAUUUCUGGUUACACUAGCGCAAUUCUUCCACUUUAGUAUAUUUUGAAUUUAAGACAGGCCACAGUAUUUGCAAUUACAAUACACAGCAAGUGCAAUUGAGCUUAUAGUGCCUACUAGUUACUCUGUGUUAUUUCUGUAUUAUUCGUCUGCAAUUCUGAAAUAUUAGUAUAUUUUUUUGAAAUGUAAGCUGGCUCCAGGAUUAUGCGAAUACAAUAAACAGAAGGCGGAAUUGAGUUUCUAGCGUCCACUAGUUGCUCUAAUGCAAUGUCUGUAUUAUACACGCGCAAUUAUGAAUUUAUUAGUAUAUUUUUGAAGUGAAGGCAGGCUACAGGAUUUGCAAUUACAAUAUACAUCAAGCGCAAUUGAGUUUCCAUUGUCUACUAGUUGCAAUAUGCAUUUUCUGUUUAUCCCUGCGCAAUUCUGAUUUUUUAGUAUAUUUCUUGAACUGACUAAGAGCUCAAUAAGGCCAACUAACUACAUUUGUAAUUUACAGCAAGUGCAAUUGAGUUCCUAUCAUUGCAUAGUUGCAUCAUGCAAAUUCUGUUUAUCUCGGCGCAAUUCUAUGAAUUUAGCUCACUAAGACAUUAUAGUACCCGAUUUUCUUCUGGAUGGAGGUAACUUUGAGUUUCUUCGUGUAGCUGUGCAGCUGCUUGUACAUUGAAGUGAAGGUGUGCUACAUUAUUGUGCAUUUGCAUUAUACAGUAAAUGCCAUUUUGUUUCAAAUACAACCGAGUUGCACUAUGCAAUUUAUGCUCGCCCCCAGUGCAAUUGUAGGAUUUUAGCUAACCAAGACUUGUUCAACAUGUUUUGUUUUGGAUGCAGGUAACUAAGAUUUGUUUUUUGUGUAAUGAAGGUGGGGGUACAGAAUUUGCCCUUCUACAUGCACAGUCAGCUCAAUUGUGUGUUCAACAUCAUCCAGUUGCAAUAUGCAGCCAGUUUGUAGAGAAGAGACACCGAAGCUGCAUCUAUACUUUUGAAGGGGAGAAGAACAGGGGCAGAACAUACCUUGAUGAUCCAAGGUCCGAGUUACUCCUUCCUGUUCCUUGGUGUGGUGGGUGCGCUAUUAAAAGAGCAAGUUAGUGCCCCUUAUUUGCUUCUGAUUCAUCUUCCCUCCCACAAAUCUGCAGCCUUCUCUCGAGAUAGCAAGAACUAGGAAGCAAGAACAAGCUAGGGAGUGGGGCGGCGGGUGGCGAGGCACAAGCAAGUAGUACCUUCCAUGCCUGGAGAUCUUGUGGCUGUAUAUUUCUAGGAAGUGAAACAAAUGGGACGAGAUGUUGUUAACAAAGGAGAAGGAUCAUUUUGGAGCUACCAUUUUUAGCAGUGUGGUUAUUUGUGCUAACCUUCAAGGAAAUAGGUCGUUUAGUAGUCUGUGUCAAGGGAAUUUGAAUGAUCUUAGUAGUCUAAAAGCACUAAGAAUGCAAGCUUUUGGUCCUGUAGCCUAUAAGCACCAAGAAUGCAAUUUUUUUGUUCCUGUAGCCUAUAAGCACCGAGAAUGCAAACUUUUGGUCAUGUAACCUAACCCCAAAUGGUGUGUUUUGUUCUGUCUUGUGUGUAUAUACUACUCAGUAUAGCUUUUGGUUCUGUCCUGUAGCAUUUCC